This 263-nucleotide ribosomal RNA is filed under the name uncultured bacterium. Its description in RNAcentral is "partial 16S ribosomal RNA". It matches the Rfam family "Bacterial small subunit ribosomal RNA", at positions 524 to 787 of the family's 1533-position model. The record is from RNAcentral.
UACGUAGGGGGCGAGCGUUGUCCGGAAUUAUUGGGCGUAAAGGGCGCGUAGGCGGUUACUUAAGUCUGAUGUGAAAGUGCGGGGCUUAACUCCGUAAAGCAUUGGAAACUGGGCAACUUGAGGACAGGAGAGGAAAGUGGAAUUCCACGUGUAGCGGUGAAAUGCGUAGAUAUGUGGAGGAACACCAGUGGCGAAGGCGACUUUCUGGACUGUAACUGACGCUGAGGCGCGAAAGCGUGGGGAUCAAACAGGAUUAGAUACCC